Molecule: ribosomal RNA, 428 nt
Filed under: uncultured archaeon
Lineage: Archaea
Description: bacterial SSU rRNA
Rfam family: Archaeal small subunit ribosomal RNA
Source: RNAcentral
UACCAGCUCUCCGAGUGGUAGGGAUGAUUAUUGGGCUUAAAGCGUCCGUAGCCGGCUUAGCAAGUCUCCUGUUAAAUUCAGCGACCUAAUCGUUGAGCCGCGGGAGAUACUAGUAGGCUAGGAGGCGGGAGAGGUCAACGGUACUUCCGGGGUAGGGGUGAAAUCCUAUAAUCCCGGGAGGACCACCAGUGGCGAAGGCUGUUGACUAGAACGCGCUCGACGGUGAGGGACGAAAGCUGGGGGAGCGAACCGGAUUAGGAUACCCGGGUAGUCCCAGCUGUAAACGAUGCGAGCUAGGUGUUGGGGUGGCUACGUGCCACUUCAGUGCCGCAGGGAAGCCAUUAAGCUCGCCGCCUGGGGAGUACGGCCGCAAGGCUGAACUUAAGGAAUUGGCGGGGGAGCACCACAAGGCGUGAAGCUUGCGGUUC